Long non-coding RNA from Lucilia sericata (common green bottle fly), 1028 nucleotides. RefSeq lists it as uncharacterized. NCBI's taxonomy places the organism in Eukaryota, Metazoa, Arthropoda, Insecta, Diptera, Calliphoridae. The record is from RefSeq and is a predicted model, not a curated record. The transcript is spliced from 9 exons.
AGCUGACACAACACACCACUACAUUUUUUUUAUAUUUUCUUUUCAGGAAAAGACGGAAGAUGCUGCAGAUUCUGGUGGAAAAUUGGCAAGAAUGUGACUACAGUUAGCUAUUGGGUAGGCGCUGAUGUAAUUUCUGGAGUUGGACAUGUGCAAGAUUAAACUUCUGGAGGAUCUUGAACUACAAACUGGCCUUAGAUUUCGUUUAGGAUCCAACACUAAUCCAACACCUGAGGAAAGUGAAGUGGAAGAUCGAGAACCUAGUGAAAGGUCAGGUUAUUAAGACUUCAAGUGUCCCUGAGGAGGACGAACUGAAGGGACGAAAACACCAAUUAGAAGCCAAAUUCAGUGGAAUUCAUGGGAAUUGGCAAGUAUUUGUUGCAACAACAAGAACAACAACAAUAGAGAAGCAAAUGAGAGCAGUGAAGCAGAUAAUCCGGGUCCCUCAACCUCGAUUACUGGCUGGCUGCUGUGAGUGACAGGAUUCUUGCGAGCUGAUUGGUUGCAGGAAUGGGUUUUCGGUCCGUCCGUAUUUCAGUCCGUUAGAGUAUUCACGGCAACCUAAAUUCAAACUUAUCGCGUUUUUUUUUAAUUAAUAUUUGGCCUGAGCUCAAACCUAAUCGCGCACGUUUGGCUUAAUCACAAACGGGAUGACGACGAAUAAAAAAAACGACAGGAAAUUAUUUAAAAGUAGUAUUUAGAAGUCCUGUUCGUUUGGUCGUCCGGGUGAAUGGUAAGUACUACGGUCGAAAACCUGAUACCUGAGCACCACAGGAUUGCUGGUGCUGGUCUGCCAAAAGAGUCCCACGAUGGAUGGAGCUGGCGAUGGCGUGGCUUAUUUGCUGUUGGCUUAGUUUCAAAUUUCUGUAUUGUUUAGUUUCAAGUUUAAUUUCCUUUAGUUUUAAGUUCAACUUUAUUUAGUUUAAAAUUGUAAACUUUAAAAUUUUUAAGCACAGGGUAUACAGAGGCGUCACAAGCAAAAAACUAUUUCCCUCUUUUUCGCACAAAACGAAUUCAAUAAUUUUUUUUAG